GAAAUGCGAUAAGUAGUGUGAAUUGCAGAAUUCAGUGAAUCAUCGAAUCUUUGAACGCACAUUGCGCCCCUUGGUAUUCCAUGGGGCAUGCCUGUUCGAGCGUCAUUUGUACCCUCAAGCUCUGCUUGGUGUUGGGUGUUUGUCCCCGUCUCCGCGCGUGGACUCGCCCCAAAGUGAUUGGCAGCCGGCGUACUGGUCCCGGAGCGCAGCACAUGUCGCGCAAACGAGUGCCUUGGUACGGCGGCGUCCAUAAGCCCCUCUCUCACGCUCUUGACCUCGGAUCAGGUAGGGGUACCCGCUGAACUUAAGC
This 310-nucleotide unclassified non-coding RNA is filed under the name plant metagenome. Its description in RNAcentral is "partial contains 5.8S ribosomal RNA, internal transcribed spacer 2, and large subunit ribosomal RNA". The stretch from base 1 to 105 matches the Rfam family "5.8S ribosomal RNA", at positions 50 to 154 of the family's 154-position model. The record is from RNAcentral.